RNAcentral lists this ribosomal RNA (467 nucleotides) under uncultured bacterium. Its description in RNAcentral is "partial 16S ribosomal RNA". It matches the Rfam family "Bacterial small subunit ribosomal RNA", at positions 28 to 507 of the family's 1533-position model. The record is from RNAcentral.
GACGAACGCUGGCGGCGUGCUUAACACAUGCAAGUCGAACGGAAAGGCCCUGCUUUUGUGGGGUGCUCGAGUAGCGAACGGGUGAGUAACACGUGAGUAACCUGCCCUUGACUUUGGGAUAACUUCAGGAAACUGGGGCUAAUACCGGAUAGGAGCUCCUGCUGCAUGGUGGGGGUUGGAAAGUUUCGGCGGUUGGGGAUGGACUCGCGGCUUAUCAGCUUGUUGGUGGGGUAGUGGCUUACCAAGGCUUUGACGGGUAGCCGGCCUGAGAGGGUGACCGGCACAGUGGGAAUUGGGACACGGCCCGGACGCUACGGGGGGGCAGAGGGGGGGAUUUUGGCCCAAGGGCGGGAGGCUGAAUGCGGCACGGCCGGGGGGGGGAGGAGGGCCUCGGGUUGGAAACCGCUUUCGCCUGUGACGAAGCGUGAGUGACGGUAAUGGGUAAAGAAGCACCGGCUAACUACGUG